This 76-nucleotide transfer RNA is filed under the name marine sediment metagenome. RNAcentral describes it as "tRNA-Met". It matches the Rfam family "tRNA". Rfam says of the family: Transfer RNA (tRNA) molecules are approximately 80 nucleotides in length. Their secondary structure includes four short double-helical elements and three loops (D, anti-codon, and T loops). The record is from RNAcentral.
GGGCCAAUAGCUCAUUGGUAGAAGCACUCGGCUCAUAACCGAAAGGAAGUAGGCUCGAACCCUACUUGGCCCACCA